GGGACAGCUCGACCCCCAGGGGAGCACGUGGCCACCAGCUCUGCCGCCUUCCUCCUCCUGAGACCGACCCUAGGAGUCCUCGUGCCCCAGUCUACCUAGACUCCCAGGAGCGUCCGGCCGGAAGAGACAGUGGGAGAUGAGGAAACUGAGAUUGGGAGGGGGACGUGAUGGGGUCCUGCACCCAGGCUGGUAUGAAAAAGGUGCCGAGAAGGUCCCAUGCAUCACCAGCCUGGAGGUAGCAGCAGAAGGGAAACCAGUGCCUCUGAGAGUGGGCAACUGUGCCCCAUCCACCUCCUCUUCUUCUUGGAGAUCUCAAGAUAAGACAAGAGACAUCAACCUGGGAUUGGGUUUCUGGGCAGAGAGUAAAAGUGAGCUCCUUCUGCCUGUGCACGCAGCUUCCCUCGGUACUGGGAUAGCCGAGAUCCCUUACUAGAAGCAGCUCACAAAACCUCCCCCAGUUACUGGGAUAGCCCAGACACCUUCCUAGGGCAGCAGCGGAAGAAAGAAGGGGACAAAAUACCAACGACCAGAAAGAAGAAAGAACUUAGCCUCAGUCACCAGCCACUGGGAGCUGAUAGUAACUGAAGGGAUGGAAAGCCCUCUGGGACAGUUUUAGUGGGAGCCCUCCAGAGCCUGGAGAGACUGCAGGUGGAGCAGGAAGGUGGGGAAGAAUUAGAGCAGUGACCCCGGCCACUUUUGGCCUCACGGUUCUGCACAAUGAGACAUUGCUCAUCUUCAGAGAACCGUGCCAUUCUGGCCAUCUGGCAUCCUAGACAAUUUUCCACUGUCUCUCAGUAUCCAGCCAUCCAGCCAUCUAGCCUCCUAACUACUUCUCUGUGCUGGUCCAGCCCAGUGCUCAGAGUUAGGAUAUUUUUAUGAAUAAAACAGACCUAGCUUCUGCCCUCGUGGAGCUUACAGCGUGGGGCGAAAGGAGACUGAUCAAAAUGCCACACACAUGUAAUUUACAACCUUGGGAAGUGCCAAGAAGGGGAAGUGUUGGGUGCCACUGAGAACAUUCACAGAGGUUAACCUGGGGCUGAGGUGGAGGAAAGGUCAGAUGGAAGCUGUCUAACCACCCUGGGCUUCUGGCUUAGGAUGUGUAGGGCUAGCAGCUCAGCCCAUGAGGUUGUGUCUUGAACUUGGGUAUUGAUGGAAUAGCUAUAGAAACAGAACAACCAUGAAGUGAAGAUGGUGAAUGAAGAUCCUCUCAUCAGCUUGCGAUUGCAUGACAGAGGAGGCUGCAAGGACACUCAGGUGUGAAGACGGGUGAGUUGCCAGUUCUGGAGUGCAGAUGUGGUUACCAGCAGCCUCUGUUUUGGAGGCUACUCUGAAGCCAUAUUCAGCUUGGGAGGCCUCCUGCAGGGUUGACCCAGUUCUGGAACAAACCAAGGUGUUUGGGUCUGAACCAGGGCCUGAGCAGAUCCCAUCCCAUAUCCAGCUGAACUGUCUCACCCAGUCUGCAUUGAGUAUCGGUCCCAAGUGGAGGCCAC
Molecule: long non-coding RNA, 1490 nt
Filed under: Homo sapiens (human)
Lineage: Eukaryota; Metazoa; Chordata; Mammalia; Primates; Hominidae
Description: HSALNT0245993
Source: RNAcentral